This 661-nucleotide ribosomal RNA is filed under the name Ophidion marginatum (striped cusk-eel). RNAcentral's name for it is "partial 12S small subunit ribosomal RNA". It matches the Rfam family "Bacterial small subunit ribosomal RNA", at positions 528 to 1502 of the family's 1533-position model. The record is from RNAcentral. Lineage: Eukaryota; Metazoa; Chordata; Actinopteri; Ophidiiformes; Ophidiidae.
AAUAAGGCACAAGUUAAUAGACCAACGGCGUAAAGCGUGGUUAGAGACUACCUCAAAAUAAAGUCGAAAGCCUUUUGGGCCGUUCCAAGUGUACAAAGGCAUGAAGCUCCACUACGAAAGUGACUUUACAACAAAGACCCUUGAAUCCACGAAAGCUUAGGUACAAACUGGGAUUAGAUACCCCACUAUGCUAAGCCUUAAACAUAGACAUACUCUGUCCGCCAGGGUAUUACGAGCAUCAGCUUAAAACCCAAAGGACUUGGCGGUACUUUACACCCACCUAGAGGAGCCUGUCCUAUAACCCGAUAGUCCCCGUUAAACCUUACCCCUUCUUGUUCAUUCCCGCCUAUAUACCGCCGUCGUCAGCCUACCCUGUGAAGGUUUGAAAGAACGCUCAAUUGGUAUAACCCAAAACGUCAGGUCGAGGUGUAGCGAAUGAAGGGGAAAGAGAUGGGCUACAUUUUCUGUAUCAGAAAAUUACUGAAGGGUAGAAUGAAACAAACCCUGAAGGAGGAUUUAGCAGUAAGUCUAGAAUAGAGUGCUAGACUGAAGCCGGCCAUAAAGUGCGCACACACCGCCCGUCACUCUCCCUAGAAACAUUAAUUAUAGAACUUAACACAAAUACUAUUCAAAAGGGAGGCAAGUCGUAACAUGGUAAGUG